RNAcentral lists this ribosomal RNA (552 nucleotides) under Triticum aestivum (bread wheat). Its description in RNAcentral is "partial small subunit ribosomal RNA". Lineage: Eukaryota; Viridiplantae; Streptophyta; Magnoliopsida; Poales; Poaceae. The record is from RNAcentral.
AUGGCGUGGUGGAAGUUGUGCGUACCGAAAGUUCAGGGAGGUAUGGGUUUUCGAGAUUUAAACUAUUUCAAUCUCGCAUUGCUAGCUAAACAAGCAUGGCAUCUACUUGACAACCUGGGUUCUUUAUGUGCAUCCAUCUUGAGAGCCAAAUAUUACCCUGAUGGAGACCUGAUGAAUGCAGGAUUGAAAAAGGGUUACUCUUUUACUUGGAAAAGCAUUAUGGCACGAAUUAAUUCACUGAAAAAUGGGUAUAUCUUGAGGGUGGGUAACAGACAAAAGAUCGAUAUUUUGAAAGAUGCUUGGAUCCCGAAUUGUGCAAAUAGGAAAAUCUUUACACCGAGGGGAGAGAACCUCUUGUCAAAGGUUUCAGAUCUUAUUGACCCAGUAACAAAUUUGUGGGAUGAAGAUCUAGUGAGACAAACGAUGUGGCCAAUUGAUGCGCAACGAGUACUCGCGAUACCCCUUUCUAUGCAUAACAUGUCGGAUUUUAUUGCAUGGAGCCAUACGAAAAAUGCGGUGUUCCCCGUUCGAUCAGCUUAUCUCUCGGAAUAG